GCACUGCUGAUGAGACCCAACCCGGUCGAAACAGCUGUCCAGUGC
Non-coding RNA from Echinostoma caproni, 45 nucleotides. Lineage: Eukaryota; Metazoa; Platyhelminthes; Trematoda; Plagiorchiida; Echinostomatidae. The record is from Rfam.